This 645-nucleotide ribosomal RNA is filed under the name uncultured marine eukaryote. RNAcentral describes it as "SSU rRNA". It matches the Rfam family "Eukaryotic small subunit ribosomal RNA", at positions 616 to 1265 of the family's 1831-position model. The record is from RNAcentral.
CGGUUAAAAAGCUCGUAGUUGGAUUUCUGUCGGAGACGCGCGGUCCGCACUAUGUGCGUGUAUCUGUGUCGGCUCUGGCAUCCUCCUGGGGAACGGUGCUGCGCUUGAUUGCGUGGUCCGGUAUUCAGGACUUUUACUUUGAGGAAAUUAGAGUGUUUACGGCAGGCAAGCGCCUUGAAUAUAUUAGCAUGGAAUAAUAACAUAGGACUUUGGUUCUAUUUUGUUGGUUUCUAGAACUAAGGUAAUGAUUAAUAGGGAUAAUUGGGGGCAUUCGUAUUAACACGUCAGAGGUGAAAUUCUUGGAUUGUGUUACGACGAACUACUGCGAAAGCAUUUGCCAAGGAUGUUUUCAUUGAUCAAGAACGAAAGUGCGGGGAUCGAAGACGAUUAGAUACCGUCGUAGUCUGCACCAUAAACUAUGCCAACUAGAGAUUGGAGGUCGUUCUUUUUAUGACUCCUACAGCACCUUAUGAGAAAUCAAAGUCUUUGGGUUCCGGGGGGAGUAUGGUCGCAAGGCUGAAACUUAAAGGAAUUGACGGAAGGGCACCACCAGGAGUGGAGCCUGCGGCUUAAUUUGACUCAACACGGGAAAACUUACCAGGUCCAGACAUAGUAAGGAUUGACAGAUUGAUAGCUCUUUCUUGA